AUGCUCCACCCAAAAGUAUACAAAUUUAAGGCACAUCAGUCAGACCGUUCUACUCAUUCCAAGACUAGAUCAGUUCAUCACUGCCAAUUUAUACCUGACUUCAACUGCAAAAUCAAGAAAAUGAGGAUUCAGAAUAUGUUCAUGGUCCUUGCUUUUGUGGCUGUUGUGGCUGCAGCACCACUCGAUAACAACAAAGAGUCACAGCCUGGCGUUCCUCCUGUUGAAGUGUCAAAGCCUGGCGUCGUCCUUGUUGUUCAGUCAAUCUCUGACAACCCUUCAAUUGUAAAGUCAAUACCUGAGGUCGUAACUGUUGUAGAGUCAAAAUCUCACAUCUCCAAUGUUGUAGCGUCACAGCCUGACAUCCAUCUUGUUAAAAUGCCUGAAGUCUCCUUUGUUGUAGAGUCAGCGUCUAACAUCCUUCCUGCUCUAGAGUCAAAGUCUGCCGUCUCCUCUGUGGAGUCAAAGCGUGAAGGCUCUCUUGUCGUAGAGUCAAAAUCUGCCGUGUCCAAUGUCGUUGCAUCGCAGUCUGACACCCAUGCUGUUGAAGUGUCAAAGUCUGAUGUCUCCAAAGUUUUAGAGUCAAAAUCCGACAUGUCCAAUGUUGUGGAGUCAAAGCCUAAAGUCUCUCUUGUUGUAGAGUCGAAGUCUAUCAUUCCUGUUGUAGAGUCAAAAUCUGCCGUGUCCAAUGUCGUUGCAUCGCAGUCUGACACCCAUGCUGUUGAAGUGUCAAAGUCUGAUGUCUCCAAAGUUUUAGAGUCAAAAUCCGACAUGUCCAAUGUUGUGGAGUCAAAGCCUAAAGUCUCUCUUGUUGUAGAGUCGAAGUCUAUCAUUCCUGUUGUAGAGUCAAAAUCUGCCGUGUCCAAUGUCGUUGCAUCGCAGUCUGACACCCAUACUGUUGAAGUGUCAAAGUCUGAUGUCUCCAAAGUUGUAGAGUCAAAAUCUGACAUGUCCAAUGUUGUGGAGUCAAAGCCUAAAGUCUCUCUUGUUGUAGACUCGAAGUCUAUCAUUCCUGUUGUAGAGUCAAAAUCUGAUGUCUCCACUGUAGAGUCUCAGUCUCACAUCCUUCCUCUAGACUCAAAGGUUAAUAUUCCUCUUACUAAUGGUGCUGACAUCAAAGUGGUCAUUGAGAACAUUGAGACCUAUGACGAUGAUGAUGAGGAUUUUGAUGAAAAUGAUGCUGAACAUGAAGAGGGUGAUGAGGAUGAUACUGAAGAGGAAGAGGUUGAUGAGGAUAACACUGAGGAUGAGGAGGUGGAAGGGGAGAAUGAAGAAGAGGAUGAAGAGGAAGAAGAUGAGGGAGAGCAAGAUUACUAAGCUGAGCUGAAUGAAUCCCUCAACAACUUUUUCUCACGCUUUUCAUAUUUGUUUCAUAUCAUAUUAGCAGAGAUAACAAAGCAAAAAAAAACGAAAGUAGUAUUUUAUUGUGAAAGUAUAACGACAUAUCCAUCCACUGUACAUCAUAUCUGUAUCUGCUUCUCUUUCUCCAGUGUCUGAUCUUCAGUAUCUGGUCUUAGUCUUGAUCAAAACAAAUAAUAAUAAAGAAUAUAAUGGAAAUUUCA
Long non-coding RNA from Betta splendens (Siamese fighting fish), 1559 nucleotides. Ensembl annotates it as glutamic acid-rich protein-like. The record is from Ensembl. NCBI's taxonomy places the organism in Eukaryota, Metazoa, Chordata, Actinopteri, Anabantiformes, Osphronemidae.